Long non-coding RNA from Ahaetulla prasina, 529 nucleotides. RefSeq lists it as uncharacterized. The record is from RefSeq and is a predicted model, not a curated record. The transcript is spliced from 3 exons. NCBI's taxonomy places the organism in Eukaryota, Metazoa, Chordata, Lepidosauria, Squamata, Colubridae.
CUUUAAGAUAUUUUUUCCUUUGCAUGAGAAAGGAAAUUGCAGGUAUCUAUCUGUAGUCAAUAAAUCAUUGAUUUGAUGACACAUAAUCAAUCAUAGAAAAGGCAAUAAGGCACAACCACGUGAAAUAUAAAACUAAAGCAUUUUAAGAUGAUUCUUGUACAUGAAAUGUAUACAAACUAAUUAACAAAGUGCUUUAUUUUCACAAAAGGUAAAAGGAAUCAGAAUUUAAGACCAACUACCCUACAGUGGACGAUUAGCUGGUGUUGACCUUUGAGUGCAUCAAAUUCUUCCCAAGAACUUCGGAUGCUGUAACAUAUUGGCAUAGUAUAUGUGUGGAUCCAAGCAGUUUGACCUUUUGCACUUGACAGAUGGACAUUUUGUCAAUGUGUGGAUUGUCUAAGGGCCGUCCAAGAUUUUUUGGACAAACUACAUGAAGUGUUCAUGAAGUCACCAGGAUGUGAGAAUGACUCAAAAGAGGCAAUGUUUCAUAUAUUUUCUAAUAUUCAUUCGGAAUGCCAGGAAGCUAGCG